GAUGAACGCUGGCGGCGUGCCUAAUACAUGCAAGUCGAGCGAACAGAUGAGGAGCUUGCUCCUCUGACGUUAGCGGCGGACGGGUGAGUAACACGUGGAUAACCUACCUAUAAGACUGGGAUAACUUCGGGAAACCGGAGCCAAUACCGGAUAAUAUAUUGAACCGCAUGGUUCAAUAGUGAAAGACGGUUUUGCUGUCACUUAUAGAUGGAUCCGCGCCGCAUUAGCUAGUUGGUAAGGUAACGGCUUACCAAGGCGACGAUGCGUAGCCGACCUGAGAGGGUGAUCGGCCACACUGGAACUGAGACACGGUCCAGACUCCUACGGGAGGCAGCAGUGGGGAAUCUUCCGCAAUGGGCGAAAGCCUGACGGAGCAACGCCGCGUGAGUGAUGAAGGUCUUCGGAUCGUAAAGCUCUGUUAUUAGGGAAGAACAAAUGUGUAAGUAACUAUGCACGUCUUGACGGUACCUAAUCAGAAAGCCACGGCUAACUACGUG
This 497-nucleotide ribosomal RNA is filed under the name uncultured bacterium. Its description in RNAcentral is "partial 16S ribosomal RNA". It matches the Rfam family "Bacterial small subunit ribosomal RNA", at positions 28 to 507 of the family's 1533-position model. The record is from RNAcentral.